This 468-nucleotide ribosomal RNA is filed under the name uncultured bacterium. RNAcentral's name for it is "partial 16S ribosomal RNA". It matches the Rfam family "Bacterial small subunit ribosomal RNA", at positions 28 to 507 of the family's 1533-position model. The record is from RNAcentral.
GACGAACGCUGGCGGCGUGCUUAACACAUGCAAGUCGAACGGAAAGGCCCUGCUUUUGUGGGGUGCUCGAUUGGCGAACGGGUGUGUAACACGUGAGUAACCUGCCCUUGUCUUUGGGAUAACUUCAGGAAACUGGGGCUAAUAUCGGAUAGGAUCUCCUGCUGCAUGGUGGGGGUUGGUAAGUUUCGGCGGUUGGGGAUGGACUCGCGGCUUAUCAGCUUGUUGGUGUGGUAGUGGCUUACCAAGGCUUUGACGGGUAGCCGGCCUGAGAGGCUGACCGGCCACAUGGGGACUGAGAUACGGACCAGACGCCUACGGGAGGCAGCAGUGGGGAAUAUUGCACAAUGGGCGGAAGCCUGAUGCAGCAACGCCGCGUGCGGGAUGACGGCCUUCGGGUUGUAAACCGCUUUCGCCUGUGACGAAGCGUGAGUGACGGUAAUGGGUAAAGAAGCACCGGCUAACUACGUG